CUGCUGCUCCUCCUCCUAUUCCUUGCUUGUUCCUCCGACCGUCGUCGUCGUCGCCAUUGUAUUGCACCAGCAGCACAUGCACAGCUAGCGCGCACUGCCGGGACCGGGACGGGGACAGCACCCCCUUGGAACCAGCCGUGCCUCGUGGGGGGCCGGCGCCCUUUCAAUUCCCCUUCGUCCUCCUCCUGCUGUGUGCCCUGCCCAUUCAACUCGCCGGCCCCCAUCCAUUCAUAUAGCUUGCUUUCUUGCUUCCAGCUACCUCUCCUCUUCCUCCCCCUCCUCCAUACAUACCGACCUUUCUACCUUCACUUCCGGAUCUCCCCUCCUCCCUGCACCACAUCUCGUACCCCCAAAAAGCUGAGAGGUAGGCCGGGAGCGAGCUGAGACACAUAGAUACAGGAGGUGGUAGAACCAUCAAGAUGCAAGCGAGGUCAAGGCGGAUAAGCUAGCUAGCUGGAGAUACACAUACUCUACUAUACUCCAUAAUAUGGAUAGAUCAGGAAGCCUUUCGUCUUUGAGGGGAAUGUUGUCUGGCUCGGGGCCGCCGCCGCCGCUCCUUCCUUCUCUAGUCUCUCUUCUCUCCUAGCAGCUACUCUUCGCUUCCUACUCCUAUCUCGAUCCCUCUCUUCUUCUUCUUCUUCUUCUUCCUCUUCCCCCCUCUCUUGGAUCGAGACCGAGCGGACGGAGACGAGUGGUGUAGAUCUCGGACCAGGCUUCAUUCCCCCCAAAAUGAAGGGCUCCCCAUGAUCUUGAUCUGCGCGGGCCUCCACCUCCAUCAGAUGAGCUCCAUCCGCUGGUCAAGCUGGGGGUACGUACAUGCAAAUCUGAACCGGGUAAGCUAAUAUAGCUGAUUUGCUGAAUA
Molecule: long non-coding RNA, 862 nt
Organism: Zea mays
Lineage: Eukaryota; Viridiplantae; Streptophyta; Magnoliopsida; Poales; Poaceae
Product: MIR166aHG
Exons: 1
Source: RefSeq, marked validated